This 465-nucleotide long non-coding RNA is filed under the name Scleropages formosus (Asian bonytongue). RNAcentral's name for it is "lncRNA (ENSSFOG00015032504.1)". The record is from RNAcentral. Lineage: Eukaryota; Metazoa; Chordata; Actinopteri; Osteoglossiformes; Osteoglossidae.
UGUCCACUUCAUCCUAAAAACAUGACCUACUUAUAUCUCAUAUUAUUACUCAUGUUUCCAAAGUGAAGAAAGCCUUAUAACUGGGAAAUUGUUGGUUCAAAUCCCAAGAGAGAUCUUCCUGUAUUGUUUCUGAACCAGGUACUUUACUAAAACCCUUGCUGUGAAAAUAAUCUGUUGUUUAAAUGAUAUGUUACUUUGAUAAAAUAUGCUAUUUGUAGGUUAUAUUUACUGGCGAUGGACUGGCAUCUUGUUCAGUGUGCCCUGGCCUUGCAUCCUUUGGUACCGGGAUAAACUCUGGACUGCUGCGACCCUAAUCAGGACAAGCAGCUAUGGAAAAGCUCUCUUCUCACGCAUCGACACAGAGCGCUUUAACACAGGCAUAAGGCAAGAAAAACAAAUACAUCAGAGAAGAAACAAAGAAGACAGUUGACUAAUGACUACCAAAUAAAGCUCCAGACAGCUGAA